AUUUAGCUGCGUUAGUGGCGCUUUUUAUAAAGGCCGCAAAUUUUAAGUAAAAUCACUCUAAAUGAUGUAGUUUACUUAGCCCCGAUCUUCCUUAGUUCCCCCAACUCAGAUUUCCCCAAAUUGAUUUCCCUAAUUUCCCAUUUCAUAUUCUCCCAAUUACCCCGAUUUCAAAUCCCCAAUUUCACAAUUCCUUUUCCCCCAAUUUCCCCGAUAUCAUUUCCCCAAAUUCUGAACUGAGGUGUCCAACGCCGGUGCCGUCGCAGUCGUCUCCACUUCGGCUUCCUCUGUCAGACGCUUCCUCUGUCGCCCGCGUCCUCCCUUUGUAAAAAUCAUUUGACGGGUCUUGGUUUGUGGAAACAUUUAAGUUAUCAGCAUUAGUUGGCAGAUAACAAUUUGGUUCCAGUGCAGGUUGCAGUUCUUUGCCAAGGUGCCUUAUCCUUUUUAAUACCUGAUAAAAUGCCUAGAAGAAAAGUGCGAGAUCUAAGCAUUGUUCAAAAUACUCCAAACUCGGCAGAAACAAAUAGUGAACAACAGACUGCUAUUGGAUCUUCGAAUGUUCCGAUUACACCUGACGAACCUACAGAAAUUCAAAUGGUGGAACGCGCAGAGUUCGAGGACGUACGCUACUUAGGGAUUUAUACAAGUUAGAUUCAGUCGAGUGUGUCAAAGUAUGCAGUAACAGUUUUGGUCAGUCUGUUGGAUCAGAAGCUCGACUUUUAGCAGGAUACUUGGGCAUUCUAGCACGAAAUGCAAAUAUGUUUCCUAUCAACUACGAGUCAUGGCAUAAAAUGUCCGAUAGUAACAAAAACUAAACUCUCGAUAAUAUUAAGGCGAGGUUUGCUCUAGAGGUCUUAGAUACUUAUGUAAAGAAGGCAUUGGGAAAAAGAUAGAGAGACCAUAAAAGUACUUUAAAGAAAGAUUAUUAUAAGACAAAAACAACCCUCGACGAGAAAUUACAAAAUGUCCCACCGUGAAUGCUGAGGUACCAAUGGGAAGAGGCGGUUAGAUUUUGGAAUUUGAAGAAAGGAGAGGACUGUUAAACGAGUGGGAAAAAGCAGCAGGCAGAAACAGAAAUUCACUCAGACAGCUGGGUCGAAAAGUUUUGCUUGUGUAGCUGAGGCCGAGGAGCUGUUGUCCGGUCAAAAAGUUGAACGUCUUCAACUUUUUGACAUUACACAUAGGAAGAAAGAUGGAUCUCCUAUGACUCCUGAAGCUGCAGAAAUUAUGAAAAAAAUAAAGGAUAAAAAUGUGGAGUACAAAGCGAUUGCUUCCAGUGAUAGUUCUGUUCAUAUUGACGACAUUGAUAACCGGAUUAUUACUGAAGUUUUGGGUCCUAAAAUGUAUGGUCGAGUUCGAUUUCAAGGAUCUUUUGCUAACCCAACGCAAUAUUUGAGAUCCAGCUCGCAACAAUACAUGCCUUCGGGGAGUCAGGCUCAAGCUGAAGUUUAGAGGUUAAGAGAUCAGAUGGCUCAGAUGCAAGCGACCACAGUUGAGCAAAUUACACAACUUAAAGCGGAGGCAGCAUCGAGAGAAGUUGAGGUUCAAAGAAGAUAUGAAGAACUCCAGCUACAACUUAAAGCAGAUGCAGCAGCGAGAGAAGCUGAGGUUCAAAGGAAGUAUGAAGAACUCCAAUUGUAGCUUAAAGCAGAUGCGGCAGCGAGGGAAGCAGAGGCAGUAGCGAGAGAAGUAAAGGUAGCAGCGAGAGAAGCAGAGGCUGCAGCGAGGGAAGCAGAGCAGAGCAGAAAGUACGAUGAACUCCAACAACAACUUCAAAAUAUGAUGAAGAUGUUUCAGCGGUCGCAACAUCCGCCGUCUUAGACUAUCGUGUAAAUAUGUUUAUCAUUUUAACUUUUAACAUUUUGUAAGAAUAAUAUGAAUUAUAUUUUAUUUAUUGAUUUUUAUAUUAUAUAUUAUUCGUUUAA
Long non-coding RNA from Gossypium raimondii (Peruvian cotton), 1922 nucleotides. RefSeq lists it as uncharacterized. The transcript is spliced from 8 exons. NCBI's taxonomy places the organism in Eukaryota, Viridiplantae, Streptophyta, Magnoliopsida, Malvales, Malvaceae. The record is from RefSeq and is a predicted model, not a curated record.